GAUUCUGGCUCAGGAUGAACGCUAGCUACAGGCUUAACACAUGCAAGUCGAGGGGCAUCAGGAAUCUAGCUGCUAGAUUGCUGGCGACCGGCGCACGGGUGAGUAACGCGUAUCCAACCUUCCCCUUAGUAGGGCAUAGCCCGGCGAAAGUCGGAUUAAUACCCCAUGUUAUCCGAAGAAGACAUCUGAAUUGGAUUAAAGAUUUAUCGCUAAGGGAUGGGGAUGCGUCCGAUUAGGUUGUUGGCGGGGUAACGGCCCACCAAGCCUUCGAUCGGUAGGGGUUCUGAGAGGAAGGUCCCCCACACUGGUACUGAGACACGGACCAGACUCCUACGGGAGGCAGCAGUGAGGAAUAUUGGUCAAUGGGCGCGAGCCUGAACCAGCCAAGUAGCGUGCAGGAUGACCGGCCCUAGUGGGUUAGUAAACUGUCUUUUAUGGCGGGGAAUAAAGUGCGCCACGUGUGGUGUUUUGUAGGUACCGCAUGAAUAAGGACCGGCUAAUUCCGUGCCAGCCGCGGC
RNAcentral lists this ribosomal RNA (518 nucleotides) under uncultured bacterium. RNAcentral's name for it is "bacterial SSU rRNA". It matches the Rfam family "Bacterial small subunit ribosomal RNA", at positions 15 to 518 of the family's 1533-position model. The record is from RNAcentral.